AUAAAGGUAGACUAAAAAAGUCAUUAGAUUCAUAAUUUAAAAAUAGUUUAACUUCUUUAUA
RNAcentral lists this transfer RNA (61 nucleotides) under Diapriidae sp. ZJUH_2016010. RNAcentral's name for it is "tRNA-Met". Lineage: Eukaryota; Metazoa; Arthropoda; Insecta; Hymenoptera; Diapriidae. The record is from RNAcentral.